GCCCAGAUGGCGAAACUGGUAGACGCAUUGCGCUUAGAACGCAACGCCGCGAGGUGUGCAGGUUCGAAUCCUGUUCUGGGCA
Molecule: transfer RNA, 82 nt
Filed under: Chitinophaga agri
Lineage: Bacteria; Pseudomonadati; Bacteroidota; Chitinophagia; Chitinophagales; Chitinophagaceae
Rfam family: tRNA
About the family: Transfer RNA (tRNA) molecules are approximately 80 nucleotides in length.
Source: Rfam by way of RNAcentral